RNAcentral lists this ribosomal RNA (600 nucleotides) under uncultured Bjerkandera. RNAcentral's name for it is "eukaryotic LSU rRNA". It matches the Rfam family "Eukaryotic large subunit ribosomal RNA", at positions 66 to 634 of the family's 3401-position model. The record is from RNAcentral. Lineage: Eukaryota; Fungi; Basidiomycota; Agaricomycetes; Polyporales; Phanerochaetaceae.
UAACAAGGAUUCCCCUAGUAACUGCGAGUGAAGCGGGAAAAGCUCAAAUUUAAAAUCUGGCGGUCUUCGGCCGUCCGAGUUGUAAUCUGGAGAAGCGUUUUCCGCGCUGGACCGUGUACAAGUCUCUUGGAACAGAGCGUCAUAGAGGGUGAGAAUCCCGUCUUUGACACGGACUACCAGUGCUAUGUGAUGCGCUCUCGAUGAGUCGAGUUGUUUGGGAAUGCAGCUCAAAAUGGGUGGUAAAUUCCAUCUAAAGCUAAAUAUUGGCGAGAGACCGAUAGCGAACAAGUACCGUGAGGGAAAGAUGAAAAGCACUUUGGAAAGAGAGUUAAACAGUACGUGAAAUUGCUGAAAGGGAAACGAUUGAAGUCAGUCGCGUGUGCUAGAACUCAGCCUUGCUUUUGCUUGGUGCAUUUUCUAGUGUACGGGCCAGCAUCAGUUUUGGCCGCCGGAAAAAGGCCUUGGGAAUGUGGCACCUUCGGGUGUGUUAUAGCCCUUGGUUGUAUACGGUGGCUGGGACCGAGGAACAUAGCAUGCCUUUACGGCGGGGCUUCGGCCACCUUCAUGCUUAGGAUGCUGGCGUAAUUCCUGGUGUGAACA